UACGGAGGGUGCAAGCGUUGUCCGGAAUCACUGGGCGUAAAGGGCGCGUAGGCGGCUCAUGAAGGCUGUGGUGAAAGUCCGGGGCUCAACCUCGGAUCGGCCGUGGCGACUCGUGGGCUGGAGCACUGUAGAGGCGGGUGGAAUUCCGGGUGUAGCGGUGGAAUGCGUAGAGAUCCGGAAGAACACCAGUGGCGAAGGCGGCCCGCUGGGCAGUGGCUGACGCUGAGGCGCGACAGCAUGGGGAGCAAACAGG
Molecule: ribosomal RNA, 253 nt
Filed under: uncultured bacterium
Lineage: Bacteria
Description: partial 16S ribosomal RNA
Rfam family: Bacterial small subunit ribosomal RNA
Source: RNAcentral